This is a long non-coding RNA of Mauremys mutica (yellowpond turtle), 1056 nucleotides long. RefSeq lists it as uncharacterized. The transcript has 4 exons. The record is from RefSeq and is a predicted model, not a curated record. Lineage: Eukaryota; Metazoa; Chordata; Testudines; Geoemydidae.
GAGAGGGGAAAGUCAGUCUCCAGGGGUGGGAGACUAGCACUGUGGACAGCACAGUGCUGGCCAGGCUUGGGGAGGCUAGAGAGCUCUAGCCCGUAGUCUGCCAGGCUGCAGGCCCUGAAGGGAAGGGCCUAGUGGGGGCAAGAGGCUGCAGGGGAAGGAGCCCAGGGAAAGAGACAGAUGAGGGGAGAGAAGGAGGACAGCAAGGCUGCCGCCAGAGGGUCCCUAGGCCGGGACCCAGAGUAGAGGGUCCCCCCUUUUCCCCCCCCUUGCAGUACAUCCAGCCAUUGGCUGUAGGGAGCGGCCGUUGUACUACGCCAGAUCCCUGACAGGAGGAAUUGGACUCAAAGGGCGGUUGGACAUGGUGGCUGGAGUGUAGGACUGCUGAUCACGACCCCCCGAAGGGGGUGCGGAAGGACUGAGGGGCACUGCCGGAGGGCAGUGGCCUCGAAGAGGAUGCCACCGAGCAGGGAGCAACGUGGGUCCAGCGACGCCAACGGAGGGUGGAAAGACGGAUGGGACACCACCAGGAGGGGGCACUCUGCCGGACAGAGCUAAUUCCCGGAGUCACCAAUGGGAAGUGCCAGGUGGCUCUGGAAACCCAGUUUGAACCAGUAUGUGCAGCCUCCUCAGGUGGUGGUACCUCUCUGGUGGUGUUUACAACACAAAACCACUGAAGUUUGAGAACUGGAGAUAUCCCUCAGAGAAGCAGUGCACAUCCUUAUUACAAAGCUGCACGGAUCCUGUUCCUGCCACGAGGUCGAGUCAGGCAGGUGUUUAAUGUUCUCAACACCCAGGACUGUGCCCCAAAGUAUAGUGAGCAAGAUGGGAAAAGUGUUGAUGGGGUAAUUCGUGCAGCAGAUUGCCAAGUGGAAGCCUUUAGUCACUUGAAUAAAUUAUGUAUAAAAUCAGCUUGGAACAUACCGCGCAAGCUAGAAAGGGAAAUUAAAACCAUUGUGCCUACUGCAGCACAUAAACAGUGAUCCCAUUGUAUCCUGGGUGUUUCUCUAUGCUGCAAAAAAUGCACAAUCCGGGCCACCUACUGCCAGUAAGUGUCUC